AGGUUAACUACGUCAGGAUUAGUGUGUUCCACUUCUGCUCCAUGAGAAAAGGGGGGAAUUAAGUCCUUUUCAUUGAUCAUUCUUUCUAUACACAGAGAUUACAAAGUAAGAGCUUUAACAUACUCGUGAAAGACAUUUUGUUCUGGAUGUUAUCAUCUCCUUCCACUACAGCUUGCAAUAGGAACAAGCUUCACGUCCUGGGGGUGCUGCCUAUCUGUCUUGAUUUCUGUCUGUCUCUUCCUCUCAUUGACAGGAAUGUCAUUUGUAUGCUUCACGCAGCAGUUUGCAAAAAUCCAACAAGGUUUAUGGUUUAUGUUGCCCAGCAUGUAUAAACAUAACACUCUCAAAUGUUUUUUUAAAAAUCAUAUGAAUUUGUUAUAUUUCUUAACAUUCUGGUCCCUCUACCCCACCCCAAUUCUCACACACAAGUACACUGUUUUCCUGAUAUAGUCAUACGAUAGUUGUGGCUGGGAUUAGGUUGACAACCUAAGCCCCAAGAAGGGUCUGGCAUUUUCACAGCAGCCUUUCCCCAGUGCUUUGAGUCUUCCUCUCCCACUCCCUUUUUCUCCCUCCCUCUAGCACAGGGCAGGGGGAGGAGGUGGGGGGGGAUGAUUAGCAAAUGUUUCAGAUAAUCUGUGAAUUCUUAAUAGUUAUAUUUCCAUGGUUGAAGAUCUCCCUAUUUCUGUGAUGUGACAGGUUUCAAAAACCUUGGUGUUAGGGGUUUUACAGAUAUUUCCAAGUUCCAGGAGUUUGAAAUUUGGGUCAAGAUCCUGAUUCCCUUUAGUAUGUGAGGGCAAAGGCGAUUUUAUUUUGCUUUAUUCUUCCGAAUGUUAUGGGAUGAGAUUAUAUCCAAUCCUGGCUGUAACCUGUACCAUAAAUGCAGAGUUGCAACCAUUAUUUCUGCCUUUUUCUCCUUUUAUUAUCUGUACUUCUAAUGUUAUUACUUUGAGUUUUAUUGCCAUCAACUGUGUCUUUAGUUUUAAAACAUUCUUUUUCAUACACCCUAUAGGGGCACUUCUCUCAUAAUCUGAGACAAAUUUUGGACUAUUAAUAUUCCAGCUGAAAGUAUACCAUACGCUUUCAUUGCCAACAUGGGCUUUGAAGCUUGAAUAUCAACAUUUUGAUAGGAAAUUCAAUCAUGUAGAAUUUAAAUGUAUUUGUUCAUAUUUCUUAGAAAAAAAGAUUUUGGAUAACCGUCAAUUAAGUGUCCAAUUCCAUUUGGGGUGCAGAAAAUUUUGAGCCCCUGGAUAAGAAGUAAAAAAAUUAUUUCCUCUAAAUAACCAAUUCUAGAUUAGUAGAUUGCACUUUUCUAAAUAUUUAUGAUUAACAAAACUUUUUUUGUCUGAUUCCAAUAGAAGCAUCCUAUGUUCUGAAGACUAUAAAAGUAUGGGAGAAAAAAAUGUCAAGUCUAAAUUUUAACCAUAAGUAAGGCAUUGUUUUUCUGGACUUGCGAUACAAUGGGAAUGCAUUGCUAGACUUUUCUAUUUUCUUAUAAUUAAAUAAAAAAUAGUUUAAAUGAUAGAGCAAGCCAAUUGAAAAGUUGCUUUUGAAUAAAACAGAAAAAUGGGAAUGCCAACUUUCUUUUCUUCUCUAUAACUUCAUUAACAUGGUUGUAUAGACAUUUGCAUGUAAAAUGUAGUUAACAAAAAUUACACAGAAGUAAAUUUAGUCCUCUAGUGCUUACCUCUAUGGUGAAAUCAGACCAUUUGGCAUAGCUUGAAGUCUUCCAAGAAGCCUGGUUUCCACCUGGAAAAUAAAUUACUAAAUUUGAAUGUGUUACUUAUACUAUGGUGAGUUGUCUAUCUGUUACAUUUUAUUUUAGUGCAUAUACUAGAAAUUGUAUUUAGAGUGUUCUAAAAUUGUCAUCUGUCAAGGUAGAGAAUUAUAAUAAUAUAAUUAAACCCAGAAAAAGUGUUCUGACUUUAGAUUAUUUUGGCACUGUUACAAAUAUGAUGCAUUUUUAAAAUUCAGAAUGUUUAUCACAAAUUCAUAUGUUUAAUUGUCAAUUUUUGAGAUUGAUUUAGAUUAGCUAUAACCAAAGUUUAUUUUCUAUGAAUUUAUUAAUAUAUAGUUAAUGCUUAUACAUGAGCUUCAAUAUAACACAUAUAUACUAUUGCAAUAUUUAGCUGUACUUACUUUGCUUUAUCUUUAAAUGGUAUUUCAUCUCAAAAUUUUCUGAGUUUGAUAAAUACCAAAUAUUUAUCAAAU
Molecule: long non-coding RNA, 2208 nt
Organism: Propithecus coquereli (Coquerel's sifaka)
Lineage: Eukaryota; Metazoa; Chordata; Mammalia; Primates; Indriidae
Exons: 2
Source: RefSeq, a predicted model, not a curated record